Molecule: long non-coding RNA, 411 nt
Filed under: Dicentrarchus labrax (European seabass)
Lineage: Eukaryota; Metazoa; Chordata; Actinopteri; Moronidae
Description: lncRNA (ENSDLAG00005030795.1)
Source: RNAcentral
AUGAGAGGAGGGGGCAAAUUAUCCCUCCAAAACGCAGAGGAACAAUGGAAAUCUGCCGGUCCAGAAACUGGAAAAACAAAGAGAGACACCUACACUCAUGACAUGAUUAAUGCAGAGAUUCAGUGGCAGAUGAAUAAGAGUCUCCGUCAGACUUCUGCAGCAGCCGGGCCGUUGGCGAGCGGGAGCCGGUCCAGCCGUCCAUCUUGUGUGGAAAAUUUCGGACUGGGCACGAGCCGGCCAUCUGCAGCUCCAGGCCUUCAGCAGCCAGCAGCCAAACGCAGCUACUGGAGGGAGGACGAGGGAAUCAGCAGCAGAAAUGUUUCUGUUUCAUCUUGGAAGGAAAAGCUUCGACAUCAGCAGCUUCAAAGUCGACAUUUACGAUCGGAAUACUGUAAUCUGAGAAGUAACUAA